This is a long non-coding RNA of Meriones unguiculatus (Mongolian gerbil), 643 nucleotides long. RefSeq lists it as uncharacterized. The transcript has 3 exons. The record is from RefSeq and is a predicted model, not a curated record. Lineage: Eukaryota; Metazoa; Chordata; Mammalia; Rodentia; Muridae.
UUCUGCUCACGCAGCGGAAGGAGUGUGAUGGGGCACAAGGCACUCGAAGCCUUUCUAAUUUUUCAUCUGAACACAGCUUUCCCCGGAGCUGGGACCAGGCCGAGGUAAUGGACAUUAACACCGGGGCUGAACUUAAAGACUACAAACCCUGGGGAAACAGGAAAUGCCACCGAAGCUGAGGAGAAGCAGGAGGGAGUGAACUGAAGCAUAGCAAGGCUAUAAACUCUGAAAGCCUGACUCCAGCGCAGUACUUUCUCCAGCAAGGCUCCAAACAGUGCUACCAACCGGGACCAAGCAUCCACAUACCUGAGCCUCGGAAGCCUUUAUCAUUCAGACUGCUACCAUGGCCCAGGUGUCCCUCCCAGACGCACCUGAGCUAAGGCCUCCUCAUCUACCUGUGUGCUCCCUGGAUAAGUGCCUGUUCCAGAAGCUUUGCCUCAGCAGACAGGAGGAUACAGGCCAUUUAUGAUCUGCGGAGGCCUUGGAGAUGUGGGAGCGAGAUCUAGACUCUGGUCUGGAAAGAUUUUGUGCUUGCAUCCGAGUUGAACCUUCCUGUCCCCAUUGCUACUCUGCACACAUCAGUCAGUCAGCGCUAUCAGACUUCUGCUUUUGUAAAAUGGAUGUUUUCCCGGUUUAUGAAGUG